RNAcentral lists this long non-coding RNA (263 nucleotides) under Cryptosporidium parvum. Lineage: Eukaryota; Apicomplexa; Conoidasida; Eucoccidiorida; Cryptosporidiidae. The record is from RNAcentral.
CCGCUAAAAAAUAAAUUUAAAAUUUUAGAAUUAUAGGUACAGAACUAAUCAAACGAAAUUAAAAUUUUCUUUGAGUCUUGAUUUUUAUCUAAGCAUCUUUGCCUCUUACAAGAAGGUAUCUAAGGUAAAAUGUUUAUAUAGCCUGAUCACAGGGCGGCACCAUAUUUGUGAUCACGCGUACCGCCUAAUUUACAAUUAGUAUGAUUGUCAGACGCAAAGAAAAUGAAGAGGCAAUGCUUUGACAUUAUAUUGGUAAAGUUAUG